Molecule: ribosomal RNA, 1597 nt
Filed under: Staphylococcus aureus
Lineage: Bacteria; Bacillati; Bacillota; Bacilli; Caryophanales; Staphylococcaceae
Description: partial 23S ribosomal RNA
Rfam family: Bacterial large subunit ribosomal RNA
Source: RNAcentral
GGUGAAAAGCACCCCGGAAGGGGAGUGAAAUAGAACCUGAAACCGUGUGCUUACAAGUAGUCAGAGCCCGUUAAUGGGUGAUGGCGUGCCUUUUGUAGAAUGAACCGGCGAGUUACGAUUUGAUGCAAGGUUAAGCAGUAAAUGUGGAGCCGUAGCGAAAGCGAGUCUGAAUAGGGCGUUUAGUAUUUGGUCGUAGACCCGAAACCAGGUGAUCUACCCUUGGUCAGGUUGAAGUUCAGGUAACACUGAAUGGAGGACCGAACCGACUUACGUUGAAAAGUGAGCGGAUGAACUGAGGGUAGCGGAGAAAUUCCAAUCGAACCUGGAGAUAGCUGGUUCUCUCCGAAAUAGCUUUAGGGCUAGCCUCAAGUGAUGAUUAUUGGAGGUAGAGCACUGUUUGGACGAGGGGCCCCUCUCGGGUUACCGAAUUCAGACAAACUCCGAAUGCCAAUUAAUUUAACUUGGGAGUCAGAACAUGGGUGAUAAGGUCCGUGUUCGAAAGGGAAACAGCCCAGACCACCAGCUAAGGUCCCAAAAUAUAUGUUAAGUGGAAAAGGAUGUGGCGUUGCCCAGACAACUAGGAUGUUGGCUUAGAAGCAGCCAUCAUUUAAAGAGUGCGUAAUAGCUCACUAGUCGAGUGACACUGCGCCGAAAAUGUACCGGGGCUAAACAUAUUACCGAAGCUGUGGAUUGUCCUUUGGACAAUGGUAGGAGAGCGUUCUAAGGGCGUUGAAGCAUGAUCGUAAGGACAUGUGGAGCGCUUAGAAGUGAGAAUGCCGGUGUGAGUAGCGAAAGACGGGUGAGAAUCCCGUCCACCGAUUGACUAAGGUUUCCAGAGGAAGGCUCGUCCGCUCUGGGUUAGUCGGGUCCUAAGCUGAGGCCGACAGGCGUAGGCGAUGGAUAACAGGUUGAUAUUCCUGUACCACCUAUAAUCGUUUUAAUCGAUGGGGGGACGCAGUAGGAUAGGCGAAGCGUGCGAUUGGAUUGCACGUCUAAGCAGUAAGGCUGAGUAUUAGGCAAAUCCGGUACUCAUUAAGGCUGAGCUGUGAUGGGGAGAAGACAUUGUGUCUUCGAGUCGUUGAUUUCACACUGCCGAGAAAAGCCUCUAGAUAGAAAAUAGGUGCCCGUACCGCAAACCGACACAGGUAGUCAAGAUGAGAAUUCUAAGGUGAGCGAGCGAACUCUCGUUAAGGAACUCGGCAAAAUGACCCCGUAACUUCGGGAGAAGGGGUGCUCUUUAGGGUUAACGCCCAGAAGAGCCGCAGUGAAUAGGCCCAAGCGACUGUUUAUCAAAAACACAGGUCUCUGCUAAACCGUAAGGUGAUGUAUAGGGGCUGACGCCUGCCCGGUGCUGGAAGGUUAAGAGGAGUGGUUAGCUUCUGCGAAGCUACGAAUCGAAGCCCCAGUAAACGGCGGCCGUAACUAUAACGGUCCUAAGGUAGCGAAAUUCCUUGUCGGGUAAGUUCCGACCCGCACGAAAGGCGUAACGAUUUGGGCACUGUCUCAACGAGAGACUCGGUGAAAUCAUAGUACCUGUGAAGAUGCAGGUUACCCGCGACAGGACGGAAAGACCCCGUGGAGCUUUACUGUAGCCUGA